GCCCAUGGUCACCCAACUAGGAAGUGUCUGAGGUCAGCUUUGAACCCAGGACAUCCUAUCUCUAAACCUUCCUCUUAAUAUAUUGAGUCAUACAGCUAGCUGCCUUCUGAGGAUAUUCUUUAUGGCCAGUUGGAAAUAGGAGCGGGAUGCUCUCAGCCUACAAACCUACCUCCAUAUUGAGGGUUCAAUGCAAUUAGUACGAUGCCAUCUGCAACAUUUGCAGCCUUUGAAGAACCUUACCAAAGUCUGUUUAGACUUAGUGGAAAUUAUCAUCCAUAAUACCAGACAAAGCCCCAGAGUCUGAAGAGCAAUGCUAGAACCAGUUGCUAUGCAGAAAGAAGUCAGCAAGUCUCCCUCAGGGUAAAAGGUAAUAAACUAGUUUGGGAGAUAACA
RNAcentral lists this long non-coding RNA (393 nucleotides) under Monodelphis domestica (gray short-tailed opossum). Its description in RNAcentral is "lncRNA (ENSMODG00000038765.1)". The record is from RNAcentral. Lineage: Eukaryota; Metazoa; Chordata; Mammalia; Didelphimorphia; Didelphidae.